RNAcentral lists this ribosomal RNA (1333 nucleotides) under uncultured bacterium. RNAcentral describes it as "bacterial SSU rRNA". It matches the Rfam family "Bacterial small subunit ribosomal RNA", at positions 27 to 1381 of the family's 1533-position model. The record is from RNAcentral.
GAAUGAACGCUGGCGGCAUGGAUUAGGCAUGCAAGUCGAACGGGAUGGCCCUCGGGUCAUCUAGUGGCGAAAGGGUGAGUAACACGUGAGCAACCUGCCCCCGAGUUCCGAAUAAGCAGUGGAAACGCUGUGUAAUGCGGGAUGUGGAGCACCUGUCACCUGACUGGUGCUGCAAAGAUUUAUCGCUCGGGGAUGGGCUCGCGUCCCAUUAGCUAGUUGGUGGGGUAAUGGCCCACCAAGGCUACGACGGGUAGGUGGACUGAGAGGUCGGUCACCCACACUGGGACUGAGACACUGCCCAGACUCCUACGGGAGGCUGCAGUCGAGAAUCUUCCGCAAUGGGCGCAAGCCUGACGGAGCGAUGCCGCGUGAGGGAAGAAGGCCUUCGGGUUGUAAACCUCUGUCGCCUGGGACGAAAACAAUGACGGUACCAGGAGAGGAAGUCACGGCUAACUACGUGCCAGCAGCCGCGGUAACACGUAGGUGGCGAGCGUUAUUCGGAUUCACUGGGCGUAAAGGGUCCGCAGGGGGCCUGGCAAGUCUGCCGUGAAAUUCCAGGGCUCAACCCUGGACGUGCGUUGGAAACUGCCGGGCUUGAGUUUAUGAUGGGCAGACGGAACACCUGGUGUAGCGGUGGAAUGCGUGGAUAUCAGGUGGAACCCCGAUGGCGAAGGCGGUCUGCUGGCAUAAUACUGACCCUCAGGGACGAAAGCGUGGGUAGCAAACAGGAUUAGAUACCCUGGUAGUCCACGCCGUAAACGUUGAGAACUAGAUGUGGGCGGGCUGGCCCCGUUCGUGUCCAAGCAAACGCGAUAAGUUCUCCGCCUGGGGACUACGGCCGCAAGGCUAAAACUCAAAGGAAUUGACGGGGGCCCGCACAAGCGGUGGAGCAUGUUGCUUAAUUCGAGGCAACGCGAAGAACUUUACCCGGGUUUGACAUGCACAGGACGUUCCGUGAAAGCGGAAUUCCCUUCGGGGUCUGUGCACAGAUGCUGCAUGGCUGUCGUCAGCUCGUGCCGUGAGGUGUUCGGUUAAGUCCGGCAACGAGCGCAACCCGUGCCGUCAGUUGCCAGCAGGUAAUGCUGGGCACUCUGGCGGGACUGCCCGUGUCAAGCGGGAGGAAGGCGCGGAUGACGUCAAGUCCGUAUGGCUCUUACGCCCGGGGCUGCAAACGUGCUACAAUGGCCGGUACAGUGGGAUGCGAGUCCGCGAGGACGAGCGGAUCCUCAAAACCGGCCCCAGUUCGGAUCGCAGUCUGCAACCCGACUGCGUGAAGUCGGAAUCGCUAGUAAAGGGGCAUCAGCAACGGCCCCUUGAAUACGUUCCCGGGCCU